UUAAACUUCGGGUUCGGAUUAAUACCUUCGGCAGCAACAUGUUCGAUAAACAGGAAAAGUCCUCCUGGUUUCAACACCCUUUUCACCUCUGAACAAAGUUAUCAAAAGUUAAAAAUUCGUUGCAACAUUCUAAUUAUUGUAGGUCCAACAUUCUAAUUAUUGUAGGUCAAAUCAGAAGUUAGCAUUGAACUUCAUUGGAGCAUGAUAAACGACCUUUAAGUGCCAUGUUAACAUCUUGGACAGAACAUAAUACAAGUGUACCAACAACUGCAUCAACAGAUGAAUCAUCUAGUGGAACAGCCUCUGCAACCUGG
This 314-nucleotide long non-coding RNA is filed under the name Gossypium barbadense (sea-island cotton). RNAcentral describes it as "long non-coding RNA (GBAR_LNC012310)". The record is from RNAcentral. Lineage: Eukaryota; Viridiplantae; Streptophyta; Magnoliopsida; Malvales; Malvaceae.